AGGAGAUGAUGAUUUACCACCUCCUCCAUAAGCUUUGAACUGUUGGGUGCUGUGUGGCUGGAGCAGGAGCCAGGCAAACAGGCUGAAGGAUGAGAAGGAGCUGGAUCCUAUCCAUGGCAAGCAUCCCAGCUGUUGCUAAGCCAUCUCAGGAGGUACCACAGGGGCUGGAGGGGCACCAGACCGCGACUGCUUUGUGGGGCAGAGAUGUGCCAGAUGAAAACCAGCACUCAGAGAGAUGCUGCUGCAGCAAGGAAUGAGAGAGAGGUUGGAUGAGUGUCUGGCUGCCAGCUAAGAAUCCCAGAGGGAACAUCCAAGGUGCAACAGCAGAAAGCCCCAGACUGCCUUUCAACUCCUCCUCUCCAAGAGCCUCUUCCCAGGAACUCAGGGAGGGAGCUUUCCACACUGAAAUAUGCCUGAAGUGUCAAUGCUUCCAGUAGGAUUUCACAACGAUUGAGUUUAUCUUAAUGCAUCAUAAAAUCUUUACUAUCAAGGCCUUUUGAACAUUGUGCAUAAAAUACUGCACUACUUUUUGGCAGAAGGCAGACGAUUAUUUAUUUCAACCCAGCAUCACAUCUUUGUUGUCAUUGUUGUUUAUGAUAUACAUUGUAGAUUGAUCUGCUCAGACUCGGGAAGAUCUUCAAAUAUUUGAAAUAAGGUUACUCAGAGGAAAUCUUGAAGGUAUAGCAAGAAGUAUCUUGAAGUAUUUUUUCUAUACCCCUAGGAAAACUUAUAAGGGAAAAGGUGGCGAAUUAUCAAAUGGCAAGGCCUCCACCCUCCUGAAAAUAGAGGAUUUAUUAUCCAGGGAUACUUAACUUGCAUCUGCCAACUCAUACAGAUUGCUUAAAAGGAAAAAAAAAAAGGAGGAUUUUUUAAAAUACUAUUCUCAGUGGCUUUUAUGCUGCUUGUUCAGCUUUAGUCAGCUCCUUAGUUUAUACUCAAAAGCUGAAAACUUAAAGUGAAACAGUGGCCUAAAUCCACGGAGAUUUAUAUCCAUAAAUGUGCUUGUUUUGGAUAUGAGUUAUAUGAAUUUAUUCUCCAUAGUGAAGAGUUCAAAACCAUGAAGUAAAGAAAGGUUUUCCCCUUCCUACUCUGCCCAGUGCAGGAAUAACAACCUGCAAUUAUCUAUUUCGGGGAGGGAAAAUGCUGAGGUUUUUUUACCUAAGCCAGAGGAUUUCCUUUAACAGGAGCUGUAGCAGAGCUCUAGGUGCUGGAAAAGAGCAGGUUUAUCUGCAGAACUCCAGGAAUCAAGCAGGUCAGUGUUAUAUAAUCAACCUUCUGGAAAAAAAAGGCUACACAACCACUUCAUAUUUCUAUCAGUUUAAACAGAAUAGAAAUUCUGAUACAUUUUAUGGUGAAGUAGAGACAUCUAGUGACUAUUUUGUGUGAUUCAAAUGCAAAUUAUUAAUGGAGGAGGAGAAACAAACUCCUUCCAAAUUCUUGAAUAGCCUUCUAUUCAAGAAUUUAUAUUAUAUAUAUAUAAAAUUAUAUAUAAAUAAAAAAUAUAUUUUAUAUAUAAAAUAAAUUUGGUCUGGCUUUGCAUUACUGGCACUGAGGACAGUUUAGUGCCUAAGUACUAACACAGUUACUAACUAAUAUUACUUUGGUAAAGAAUCUUCCUCAGAACAGCUUGGCUGCAAUCUCAAACAAAAAAAAUGCCUUUUUCUAUUGAACAUCACCUGCCUGCUAAGGGAAGGGCAAGAUGCUGCAAGGAGAAGGGGAAGGAUGUUGGGGUUGGAAUUAGGUGGUCUUGAAGGGCUCUUCCAACCAAAAACAUCCUGGGAUUGAUUCCAUGCUGCCUUGGACAGGAAAGCCUUAACCCUGUAAUCUUCUGCUCCCUCACUUAGACACCUCCAUCUCAGCUGUUUACAGACUUCUGCUUUCCAGCUGGUACCUCCACAGUCCUCCCACUUCCUCCUGAAAGGUCAGUCAGGUACUGCAGCACUCUGGGACACUUCACAUUUUCUCAUUGUAUUUCAGCAGCCAAAGAGCACAUUUUCCCAGAAUAUGGUAGAGUAUCACUUUCUCCCUUGGCUGUCAUCCUUUCCAUGACAGAAGAGGACAUUGUGGUUCUUCUCCACUCUGCUGAGACCCCCCCAGCCAACUUAACGUUUUUAUAAGAUUCUAAAUCACAUUAUCUUCUGGACCACAAAUAAGUGUUCAAGAAAUGUAAGUUAAAAUAAUUGUCUAACAGGCUUUAAAUUAACAUCUUUCCCUUCUAUCCAGAGACUAGUGAGUCAGAAUUUGGAUCACUAUCCAUAAUAGCCUGUAGGAAUAAGGUGUUUUUACCUUUACCUUAGAUUUUUUUGGUAGUAUACCUGUGUGCCAUCACUGUUGAUGGGUUAAGAUGCAGUUCUGUGUAUUUCUGUUUUUUUGUUGUAAUUAAUGUUUUUCUUAAAAAACAAAAAUACGAUUCUAAGUUUUAAGCUUUAGCCAUGUAUCUUUCAUGGAUACAGUCCAAGGUGGGACUUGCUACCUUCUAUGUGGUGACUUGGACCACUUAAAUGAAGGACAAUGACCACAGCUCUGCUGAGACCCCCCUGCAGGGCUGCAUCCAGCCCUGGGAUCCCAGCACAGCAAGGACAGGGAGCUGCUGGAGCCAGGCCAGAGCAGGGACACCAAGGGGAUCAGAGGGAUGGAGCAGCUCUGCUGGGAGCAAAGGCUGAGGGAAUUGGGAUUGUUCAGCCUGGAGAGGAGAAGGCUUUGGGGUGACCUCAUUGUGGCCUUGCAGUGCCUGAAGGGAACCCACAGGGAAGAUGGAGAGAGACUCUGGACAAGGGCCUGGAGUGACAUGACAAGGGGGAAUGGCUCCAAAGUGACAAGAGAAGGUUUAGUGUGAAUAUGAGGAAGAAAUUGUUCCCUGGGAGCGUAGUGAGGCCCCAGCACAGGUUGCCCAGAGAAGCUGUGGCUGCCCCAUCCCUCAAGGCCAGGUUGGAUGGGAUUUGGAGACACUUGGUCUAGUGGAAGGUGUUCCUGCCCGUGGCAGAGGGGUUGGGACAACAUUCAAAGUCUAUUCUAAUCCAAAGCAUUCAGUGAUUAAUGCAGAACCUUUUACUAACCAGGAUUGUGAAGGCCCAUUCUCAAAACGUAUCAGUGAUAUAACCUAAAAAUGCCAAAGUUCAUCCUUCUUCUAUGGCUGGUCCCAAGGGGGCAAAAUAUUGCACUCCUUAAAUUGCCACCAUGAUAACUCCAAAGAACCACGUUUUCUGCCUUUAUUGAGAAACUUUGAAAAUCGACAUGCAAAGGAAGCAUAGGUCAGACUCAGCCCUAGUUUAAUUCUGAGCUUGAUAGUGCCCCAGGGAUAGGAGGAUUAGCAUGUGGUAUAGAGCUGGUUGAAGAGCAGAAGUUCCUCUCUGAGAAGAAUUCAAAGUUUUGGUAUCAUUCUAAAUUACCAAAAACUCAAAAAAUUUAGAAAAAAAACCCCAAAACAAAACCAAAACUUAGACAUUUCUAUGGAGAGGAAAAUCCAACUGAAAAAAAGGAAGUGGGCCUUACAGAAACAUUUUUAAACCCAGCUUUAAAAAAAUAAUUUUAUUCUGUAUGAAAUAUUUUUUAAAAAACAGAAAAGCAUUAUUUCAUAAGUAUUCAGGUUUUUUUUUUCAGGAAUAUCAGAUAUUCUUUCUCUUCCUCCCCAUAUCAUCGUGUUCUGGUUUCAACCCUGAACGAUGGAAGUUUAGGAGGAAGUGAUCUGAUAAUCACAAACCAAAGCAAUCUAAUAAUCAUGAACUGAGUUUUCUGUUGAAACAAAUUUGAAUGUCCAGUUGGUUUGAGGAGAAUAUGAACACACUCAGCAUGUUGCCAGCUCAGGUUCUAAAUAAAAAUUAUGUGUGGGCUGAAAGUCACAGUUUAUGAGAAAAUUGAUCAAACUCUCAGUUUUUAAUAGCACACACACCAAGAUAAGGGAGUAAGAACGAAGAAUGGUUUAUCAAAAGCUACAAGGUGAGAAUUUAUAUUUGGAAUAGAAAGGUACUGGUUUCCUUCCGUUCUGCAGACCUCUAAACACUUAUUUUGACCUAAUGUGGUGUGAUGGGAGGAGAUCAGAAAUAGGGCUGUGUUUUCUUCGGCGAGUCCAUUUUGAUAGCAAACCUGAGAGUUGAAAGCAACUUUUCAAAAUGGCAAGUGAGGUGCUCUACGCCGUGGUGUCACCCAAGGAAAGAGUGAAUUUUAUUUCUGAAACUUCAGAUACAGGUAAAAAAAAUGUUCAUUUUAAUAUUACUUAUUUUCUUUGCUCACUGAUGCAUUCUUAAAACUUUCACUCUUUCUUAAAUCGUUCACAAGCAGCUGAAGUCAUGUGGAAAGCCUUUUAAAACUAUUAAUACCCAACUCUGUUUAUUAUAUAUAUCUAUUGGUGUGGCAGAUUCAUGUAGAAUGAAUGCUGAAUUCUAGCAAAAGUGAAGAUUGACCUUUAAAAUCCCAUUCUGGCUUUCGGUAAGAUGACUGAAAUGAGUCUUAAACACAUUAAUGUUCAGACAUUGAAGAUCUUUAGACAGAUUAUUGGAAAAUCAUUGACAGCUGAAGUUCACUGGAUAGAUUUCUCUCUCCUGCAGUCCACUUAUAUUUUGUAUUUUAAUUUGAUUGAGUUUCUUAGACACCAGAAAUAUUUUUAAAUUCUAAAGUGAUAGGUUUGUUGCUAUUUUCUUUUUUCCUUCUCUUUCUUUUUUCUGUCUUUCUCUCUUUCUCUCUCUUUGUCUCUGUCUCUCUUCUAAACAUUCCAUGCUGAGAAAAAUACAAGUCAAGAUUUAA
This 4740-nucleotide long non-coding RNA is filed under the name Taeniopygia guttata (zebra finch). Its description in RNAcentral is "lncRNA (ENSTGUG00000023034.1)". The record is from RNAcentral. Lineage: Eukaryota; Metazoa; Chordata; Aves; Passeriformes; Estrildidae.